CCUGGUUGGGAGGAAAGAGGAAACAGCAGCUUCUGGAGGAGAAGUUACAGUGGUGCAGAUCACACUUUGAGCCACAUGAACUGCUAGUCUCUACCCUGCAGUCUACUAGAGAAACUUGGGCAUAUGGGCAUGGAGACAAUUGGGUCUUUCCAAGGAUGGUUUCGGUACUUUUUGUUCACAGUCUGGGUGAUGAAUGUCGCAAUGCUGUUCCUGCUAACACACCUGGAAAAACAGGUGAUGGUGAUACAAAUGCAAUGCAAGCAAGCCAAGAGCAAUGCUCCCAGAAGCAGAUUUGAAGCCAGAGAUAGCCAUGCGGAGUACGAGCAGAUAUGAGAGAAACUGCACAUGCUUUUGAAAUGAUGCUGAAUCAAAAACAGCUGGUGUGGUUUUCCUAUUUGUUUUUUGUUUUUUUCACAUUUCAAAGAGAUAAAAGAAUAAAUUAUACCCCAUAAUGUAAA
Molecule: long non-coding RNA, 458 nt
Organism: Electrophorus electricus (electric eel)
Lineage: Eukaryota; Metazoa; Chordata; Actinopteri; Gymnotiformes; Gymnotidae
Source: RefSeq, a predicted model, not a curated record